CUCGCAAGCUGCAACACAGGUGGUUUGUUUGGUUCAUAUACAAUUAUACUCCAUCUAUCCUUGCCAUUGGCGAGCUCUCUAGUCCUUUAAAGCUGGGGGCACACAUUUCCAUAUUAGGUGUUUUUCUCUACUGGAAUUGCAUUGGGUGGAAGAGAAGUAGAAAAUUUACGGUCUUUAUAUCAUUUCCCAUUUCUUUAUCACUUGUACAGUAUUUUUGUACACCUUUCCUUAAGGUCAUUUUCUUCUGGUGAACCUAUUUGCCUCAAUAGCAGGUAUCCCUACUGUGUUUGGAUAUUGGCAUUUGGCAUAGAGCUUCAAUUAUUUUAUGAUGAAAGUCAUUUUGGAAAUGUCCGGAUAAGAAUUAAUAUUGUGCUUGGAGCUGUCAUGUAUGUCGGCAAUAAUUUCAUCACUUCAUUGUCAACAUGAAAACCAUAAAUGAAGACAGAAAGAUUUGCAUGUUGGUGACUGCUGCCAGAGGAGAAGGUAGGUUCAGUUUUGAAAACGGGAUGAAAACGAAACACCAAAAAGACUCGUCUCCUUUAGACAACACAAGCGUUGGCUUUGGGCUGUCAUAGGAUGAAAUGAAUCAAAUAUCAGUUUAUAUUAUCCAAUAAAAAGUUGAAGUUUUAGA
Long non-coding RNA from Gossypium arboreum, 631 nucleotides. RefSeq lists it as uncharacterized. The transcript has 2 exons. NCBI's taxonomy places the organism in Eukaryota, Viridiplantae, Streptophyta, Magnoliopsida, Malvales, Malvaceae. The record is from RefSeq and is a predicted model, not a curated record.